RNAcentral lists this ribosomal RNA (505 nucleotides) under uncultured bacterium. Its description in RNAcentral is "partial 16S ribosomal RNA". It matches the Rfam family "Bacterial small subunit ribosomal RNA", at positions 28 to 507 of the family's 1533-position model. The record is from RNAcentral.
GACGAACGCUGGCGGCGUGCCUAAUACAUGCAAGUAGAACGCACAGUUUAUACCGUAGCUUGCUACACCAUAGACUGUGAGUUGCGAACGGGUGAGUAACGCGUAGGUAACCUGCCUGGUAGCGGGGGAUAACUAUUGGAAACGAUAGCUAAUAGCGCAUAAUAUUAAUUAUUGCAUGACAAUUAAUUGAACGGUGCAAUUGAACCACUACCAGAUAGACCUGCGUUGUAUUAGCUAGUAGGUGAGGUAACGGCUCACCUAGGCGACGAUACAUAGCCGACCUGAGAGGGUGAGCGGCCACACUGGGACGGAGACACGGCCCAGACGCCUACGGGAGGCAGCAGGAGGGAAACUUCGGCAAGGGGUGGAAGUCUGACCGAGCAACGCCGCGGGAGUGAAGAAGGUUUUCGGAUCGUAAAGGUCUGUUGUAAGAGAAGAACGGGUGUGAGAGUGGAAAGUUCACACUGUGACGGUAUCUUACCAGAAAGGGACGGCUAACUACGUG